RNAcentral lists this small RNA (130 nucleotides) under Marmota monax (woodchuck). The record is from RNAcentral. Lineage: Eukaryota; Metazoa; Chordata; Mammalia; Rodentia; Sciuridae.
GCUGGGCAUGGUGGCUCAUGCCUGUAAUCCCACAGAUUUAGGAGGCUGAGGCAGGAGGAUCACUGGUUUGAGCCAGCCUCAGUAACUUAGUGAGGUCCUAAGCAACUUAGCAAGCAAGACCCUGUCUCAA